This 1804-nucleotide long non-coding RNA is filed under the name Pan troglodytes (chimpanzee). Its description in RNAcentral is "lincRNA". The record is from RNAcentral. Lineage: Eukaryota; Metazoa; Chordata; Mammalia; Primates; Hominidae.
CAAAUGCCACCCAGAGGAACAACUGCUCACUUUCAGAGCAGGAGCAGGAGGCCAGCGGAGAGUACCAGCUGAAACUGAUUAGAGCCAAGAUAGCCAACCAAAUGACUUCAAGAAGACCUCAGGCUUCAUUAUCAUCUCAUUUCCAUGCUAAAAAAACCCCAGCUCCCCAGAACAAUGGGAAAUAUUGGGCACUUCAUCAGGCGAGUUCAGGUGCAUUUCUAGAGAUUGUCCAGGUGCUGGUAACAAUAAUAGAGAACCAUCCAUAUCCACAAGAGGCAGAACCUCUUCCAGCAAAAUGGUGCUGCCUCACCCAAAGGAGAUUCGAGGGUGCAUGCAAAGCAAUGUUUCUAGAAAAUGCCAAAGGAAACAGACACAACUCCAGUGUGGACUCCCGCUUCCCUGCACUGCUGCUCCAUCUUCAGGGCGGAGGCCACAUCGUCCAGCUGGCUGCGAGAACCUCAUCAUGCUCCUUGAUUGUGUGCAGCAGGUGUCUGCUGAAGUCCUCCACACUCUGCCUGUGAGAAAACUGUACUACAGAAAGGUGAGCACCUUGCCCAAAGUUAUGCAGAAAGUGAAAAAACAAGAAUUCUAACCCAGACAACUAGAGGUAAAAUAGACAAGUGGCUUCAUGCAUCAGUAGCAUUGAAAGACACCUUGAAUGUGGCCUUACUUCAAGGUGAUGGAAUUUCUUUUUAAGCUCAGCUUCUACUUCCCUUCUGAGGAAGUUCAUGACAGGGAGCUGCUGCAAUCGAUGUGACUUUCAACUCUAAUAUCCCGAUGAUGUAAAUGCACUGAUCAGCUCAGCAGGAUUUAAGGUCUCAUCCGCUGAGCAGUGCCUCCUCCCGAUUCAGCACAUCCCUGGUGCCGACUUUCUGCACGUGUUCACUUUGAGGCUGCAUUGUGGGUCUGCAAGAAAUGCAAAGCUGGUUGAGGCUUUAUUCAAUUCGAAUUCAAGCUGUUAAAUCGAGGCUCUCAGACUCCUGCUGCCUGGCCAGUGGAGAAAUCAACUUUCACAUAUGGCUUUGGGAUUUCUCUCUGUCAUCCUGGUCGACGUGUUCUCUCAUUUUUCUGAAGUCUGGGACCUCAACACAGACAUCUGGGUGAAGGCCUUGACAGCAGGGCUGGUGCAAAAUGAAUUGUCACAUCACACCCAACGUUCUCAACCUUUAGAAUCUGAAAGUAAGAAAAACACCUCAAACAAAACAUUACAGAUUGAAUAAUUGAAGGCACUAUGCUUGGUGCUGAAGAAGGUCUAAGGAGGUCUACACCACAGAGGCUGCACCCACUCCUCAGCCUUGCUGAGCCACACCAUUCUCAUCUCUACAGCAUCCACCUCUCUUGGCUCUUGUAAGGAUUGAGACAUGCCACCAGGCUUACUAUUGACUCUGAGUAAUCAGCACAGAUUUCUAAAAGAAACUUUAUGGGAUGCUGUGACAUGAAUAAAAACAACUUUAUUCCUUUGGAAAGGACAACCCCACAUGCUAAGAAGAUGAUACUACACGUUGUUAUAGCCCGAAAGGCCCUCUUUCCACAGGGGAGCAGUGAAGAGUAGAGGUUGCCCAUGUGGAUUCCGAAGUCAGAUAGAUAUGGAUUCAGAUCCCAGCUCUGCUGCUUGCUACCCAAGAGACCAUGGACUGUGGACUUUUUAGGUCUCAGGGUUUUUGUUUGUUGUCUAUUUUUCACUUCCAAAACCAGAAAAUGAGAAGAUAUUUUCCAUAAGAUGGCAGUGGAGAAGAGAACUUGAUGGACCUUGCUUGGACAAAAUGCCUUCACCGCUAACUCAGUCAGCUAUGGCGAUGGGUCA